Molecule: ribosomal RNA, 236 nt
Filed under: uncultured bacterium
Lineage: Bacteria
Description: partial 16S ribosomal RNA
Rfam family: Bacterial small subunit ribosomal RNA
Source: RNAcentral
CGGGACGGGUGAGUAACGCGUGGGUAACCUGCCUCAUACAGGGGGAUAACAGUUAGAAAUGGCUGCUAAUACCGCAUAAGACCACAGUACUGCAUGGUACAGUGGUAAAAACUCCGGUGGUAUGAGAUGGACCCGCGUCUGAUUAGGUAGUUGGUGAGGUAACGGCCCACCAAGCCGACGAUCAGUAGCCGACCUGAGAGGGUGACCGGCCACACUGGGACUGAGACACGGCCCAG